UGUCGUUAUACUUCAUGCAUUUUGUUUAGUUGUCCUUGUAUGAUAUCAACGAGAACGUAACACCACUGAAAUUAAAGCUGAUUUUACUCACCUAUAGUUAAAAAAAAAAGAUGAUAAGGCGUUUGUGUAUUGCUUUUUAAUGUUGACGUAGAAGUGAGAAGUAGUUAAAAUACAGGUUCUUGCCCGGUUGGAGAGGUAGUGAAUGAUCAGAUCUACUCUGACAUUGUUUGGUUGAUUUUCUAUUAAACUGAGAAUACAAAUGGGGAAUAUGCCAAAGACACAACAACCCGCCCAAAGUGCAGACAACGCCUAUUAAUAUUAUGCCUAUUAUAUAGUAUAUCCAAGUAGUCGGAGUUCGAAUCAAAGCUAGGGAAGAACGUCUUUUUUUAAUGAUAAUUGAAUCAUGUUUAUAUAUUCAUCAAUAAAUUGUGUUAACAACUUGCUUAAAAACAAAUUAUUCCAAUACAAAGAAAUCAAUAUUUU
This 483-nucleotide long non-coding RNA is filed under the name Mytilus galloprovincialis (Mediterranean mussel). The record is from RNAcentral. Lineage: Eukaryota; Metazoa; Mollusca; Bivalvia; Mytilida; Mytilidae.